RNAcentral lists this small nucleolar RNA (107 nucleotides) under Oryza punctata. RNAcentral describes it as "Plant small nucleolar RNA R71". It matches the Rfam family "Plant small nucleolar RNA R71". From Rfam's summary of the family: R71 is a member of the C/D box family of snoRNAs containing the C (UGAUGA) and D (CUGA) box motifs. Multiple nearly identical copies of this snoRNA have been identified in Arabidopsis, and it is thought to function as a 2'-O-ribose methylation guide for 18S ribosomal RNA. The record is from Rfam by way of RNAcentral. Lineage: Eukaryota; Viridiplantae; Streptophyta; Magnoliopsida; Poales; Poaceae.
AUCUCAUGGUGAGGACAAGCCAUGAUGUAUUCUUAGAGCCUCUCCCAUGCCUCUAGUAUUAACUCAUUGUUGUCCUGCUGGAAACUUGAAAUCCUCUCGCGAAGGGC